This 314-nucleotide ribosomal RNA is filed under the name uncultured eukaryote. RNAcentral's name for it is "partial 18S ribosomal RNA". It matches the Rfam family "Eukaryotic small subunit ribosomal RNA", at positions 1470 to 1796 of the family's 1831-position model. The record is from RNAcentral.
CCCCUAGAUGUUCUGGGCCGCACGCGCGCUACACUGAACAGUUCAACAAGUCUUAACCUUGGCCGAUAGGUCUGGGUAAUCUUUGAACGCUGUUCGUGAUGGGGAUAGACUUUUGCAAUUUUUGGUCUUCAACGAGGAAUUCCUAGUAAACGCAAGUCAUCAACUUGCAUUGAUUACGUCCCUGCCCUUUGUACACACCGCCCGUCGCACCUACCGAUUGAAUGGUCCGGUGAAGCCUCCGGAUUGGCGCGCACCUCGGUGCCGCCGAGAAGUUGGCUAAACCUUACCAUUUAGAGGAAGGUGAANUCGUAACA